GACGAACGCUGGCGGCGUGCUUAACACAUGCAAGUCGAACGGAAAGGCCUCUUUCGGGGGGUACUCGAGUGGCGAACGGGUGAGUAACACGUGAGUAACCUGCCCUUGACUUUGGGAUAACUUCAGGAAACUGGGGCUAAUACCGGAUAGGAGCUCCUGCUGCAUGGUGGGGGUUGGAAAGUUUCGGCGGUUGGGGAUGGACUCGCGGCUUAUCAGCUUGUUGGUGGGGUAGUGGCUUACCAAGGCUUUGACGGGUAGCCGGCCUGAGAGGGUGACCGGCCAUGGUGGGACGAAUAUACGGCGCGGACUCCGAGGGGGGGAGGCUGGGGGGAUUUUUGAACAAGGGGUGGAAGCUUGAUACAGAAGCGCCGUGGGGGGGAGGGCGGCUUUGGGGUGGAAAACCGUUUUCCCCCGUGACGAAGUUUUGUGUGAGGUUGGGGGGUAAAAAAGCCCCGGCAAGCUACGUC
RNAcentral lists this ribosomal RNA (467 nucleotides) under uncultured bacterium. RNAcentral describes it as "partial 16S ribosomal RNA". It matches the Rfam family "Bacterial small subunit ribosomal RNA", at positions 28 to 507 of the family's 1533-position model. The record is from RNAcentral.